Small nuclear RNA from Ursus americanus (American black bear), 101 nucleotides. The record is from Ensembl. Lineage: Eukaryota; Metazoa; Chordata; Mammalia; Carnivora; Ursidae.
GAUUCACAGCAGCACAUACUAAAAUUGGAACAAUACAAAGAAGAUUAGCAUGGCUUCUGUGCAAGGAUGACAUGCAAAUUCAUGAAGUGUGCCAUGCUUUG